This 702-nucleotide ribosomal RNA is filed under the name uncultured bacterium. RNAcentral's name for it is "bacterial SSU rRNA". It matches the Rfam family "Bacterial small subunit ribosomal RNA", at positions 100 to 818 of the family's 1533-position model. The record is from RNAcentral.
GAACGGGUGAGUAACACGUGAGAAACCUGCCCCGGAGACUGGGACAACCGUUGGAAACGACGGCUAAUACCAGAUACCCCCGAUUGGUCGCAUGGCCGAUCGAGGAAAUGCUCUGGCGCUUCGGGAGGGUCUCGCGGCCUAUCAGCUAGUUGGCGGGGUAACGGCCCACCAAGGCAACGACGGGUAGCUGGUCUGAGAGGACGAUCAGCCACACUGGGACUGAGACACGGCCCAGACUCCUACGGGAGGCAGCAGUGGGGAAUAUUGCGCAAUGGGCGAAAGCCUGACGCAGCAACGCCGCGUGAGGGAAGACGGCUCUCGGGUUGUAAACCUCUUUCAGUGAUGACGAAAAUGACGGUAAUCACAGAAGAAGCUCCGGCCAACUACGUGCCAGCAGCCGCGGUAAUACGUAGGGAGCAAGCGUUGUCCGGAUUCAUUGGGCGUAAAGAGCUCGUAGGCGGUUGUGUAAGUCAGAUGUGAAAACUCAGGGCUCAACCCGGAGACGCCAUCUGAUACUGCACUGACUGGAGUCCGGUAGGGGAGCAUGGAAUUCCUGGUGUAGCGGUGGAAUGCGCAGACAUCAGGAGGAACACCAGUGGCGAAGGCGGUGCUCUGGGCCGGAACUGACGCUGAGGAGCGAAAGCGUGGGGAGCGAACAGGAUUAGAUACCCUGGUAGUCCACGCCGUAAACGUUGGGCACUA